This is a long non-coding RNA of Alexandromys fortis (reed vole), 1315 nucleotides long. RefSeq lists it as uncharacterized. NCBI's taxonomy places the organism in Eukaryota, Metazoa, Chordata, Mammalia, Rodentia, Cricetidae. The transcript is spliced from 6 exons. The record is from RefSeq and is a predicted model, not a curated record.
AAUGCAAACUUGAUGUGGGAGUGAUUUCUUAUUAAUAAAGAAACUGCCUAAGCCCCUUGAUAGGCCAACCCUUAGGUGGGUGGAGAAAACAGAACAGGAUUCUGGGAGAAAGAAGCUUAGUAGAGGAGUCGCCAUGAUUCCCCCGCUCCAGACAGACGCAGGUUAAGAUCCUCCCUGUACUGAAGCUCAGUCCCUGUGAUGGCUGCCCCGCCCCAUCUCUUCAGCAUGGCAUUUUAUUCAGGCAAGACGGAGAGAGGAUGAUUGUCUUUGCCCAUGUUCUAUGACACAGCGUGACGGGGGUUACAGGUGGCAGUAUAUAACUGCUCUAACCAUGGCUGGAAGACACAGCGGGAAUACAGCUUGGGCCUUCUCAGCUUUCUGCUGGUCUCUGAGGACAGCUCCCUGCAGGAAGUGGAUCUCUGAGCCACAAGAUCACUCUUGUGCUGACUGAAAUGGGGUCAGAAGAAGCAAACGGAAAAACCUCUAAUAAAAUACAGGAAAUUUCAAGAAUAUACUUUGUCUUAAAAUGGUUUCUCUGAAAUCACAGCAUUUGGAGUUAGGAAACUUGGAAUCUGGUCGCUCUACGCACAGCCACUGUGCCCCAGCCUGCAGGGGUUCUGUGUGCCCACUGUCCAUGCCCUAUGGUGCAUCUGCCAUACGCCAACCUCAAGGAGUCUGUAACAAAAGAGAUGUAGAAGGUCACAUGUAAUGUCCUUUUUCUCCUGGGCUUCCCUUUUCCUUUGGCCUCUAUCUAUCUACACAGCCUGCCUGCUCCUUUAUAGUCUCAUGCCUGGAACUUCAUCUUUUCUUUUUAGCCUCCUGGUAUGGCAGAACCAGGUGCCUCCCUGAGCCUGGAGUCUGCCAAAUGAAGUAGCCUGGACAGCCAGCAACCUCUGCGGACCCUCCUGUCUCCCCCCUGCACUGGAUCACGGUUGCAUGCCACACUGCACAACCUUUUGCAGGGGUGCUUGUGCAUGGCAAGGAUUUAGCAGCUGACCCUUCUCCCCAGAUACUGUCUUCUCUUCGUGAGACCCUUCCUGCAAGCGUAUCUAACUCUUCCCACCCCCCACUCUGAUGGUGCACCCAAGCACAUCUCUGCCCGUCUGCCCUAACUCCUUUCCCUUCCAAGCCUCAAAACCUGCUGACGAUGACAUGUUUGUGUAUGCAUAUCUGCAAACGUAAAUGAGGAUCCUCCAGACACAGGAUUCUUUUUCCCUUUGGCACAUACCCUGUGAGAAUCAGAGAUGAUGCCAGGCACAGAAAUGCUAAGUAAAUAUUUGCUACACGAAUGAAUAAAUAAUCAAUUUUGCCUGCA